This 440-nucleotide ribosomal RNA is filed under the name uncultured bacterium. Its description in RNAcentral is "partial 16S ribosomal RNA". It matches the Rfam family "Bacterial small subunit ribosomal RNA", at positions 338 to 795 of the family's 1533-position model. The record is from RNAcentral.
CCUACGGGAGGCAGCAGUGGGGAAUCUUGCACAAUGGGGGAAACCCUGAUGCAGCGACGCCGCGUGAGUGAAGAAGUAUCUCGGUACGUAAAGCUCUAUCAGCAGGGAAGAAAAUGACGGUACCUGACUAAGAAGCCCCGGCUAACUACGUGCCAGCAGCCGCGGUAAUACGGAGGGGGCAAGCGUUAUCCGGAUUUACUGGGGGUAAAGGGAGCGUAGAUGGCAGCACAAGUCUGGAGUGAAAUCCCGGGGCUUAACCCCAGAACUGCUUUGGAUACUGGGCGACUGGAGUGCAGGAGGGGUAAGCGGAAGUCCUAGUGUAGCGGUGAAAUGCGUAGAUAUUAGGAAGAACACAGGUGGCGAAGGCGGCUUACUGGACUGUAACUGACGUUGAGGCUCGAAAGCGUGGGGAGCAAACAGGAUUAGAUACCCCUGUAGUC